AAUGAACGUUGGCGGCAUGGAUUAGGCAUGCAAGUCGUGCGGCAGCAGGCCCUUCGGGGUGCUGGCGAGCGGCGUAAGGGAGAGUAACGGGUAGAUACGUGCCCUUGGGACCAGGAUAGCGUCGGGAAACUGGCGGUAAUACUGGAUAAUAUCUCUGGAUCAAAUGGUGUGAUUCCGCCCAAGGAUCGGUCUGCUUCCUUUUAGUUUGUUGGUGAGGUAAUGGCUCACCAAGGCUGAUAUGGGUACCGGGUGUGAGAGCAUGACCCGGCUCACUGGGACUGAGACACUGCCCAGACACCUACGGGUGGCUGCAGUCGAGAAUCUUCGGCAAUGGGCGAAAGCCUGACCGAGCGAUGCCGCGUGCGGGAUGAAGGCCUUCGGGUUGUAAACCGCUGUCAGUUGGGAGGAAAUGUUAGGGGGUUAUCCCUCUAAUUUGACCGAUCUUCAGAGGAAGUACGGGCUAAGUUCG
RNAcentral lists this ribosomal RNA (469 nucleotides) under uncultured Planctomycetaceae bacterium. RNAcentral's name for it is "bacterial SSU rRNA". It matches the Rfam family "Bacterial small subunit ribosomal RNA", at positions 29 to 505 of the family's 1533-position model. Lineage: Bacteria; Pseudomonadati; Planctomycetota; Planctomycetia; Planctomycetales; Planctomycetaceae. The record is from RNAcentral.